AGUGAAGCGGCAACAGCUCAAAUUUGAAAUCUGGCCCUUGCGGUCCGAGUUGUAAUUUGUAGAGGAUGCUUUUGGUGCGGUGCCUUCCGAGUUCCCUGGAACGGGACGCCAUAGAGGGUGAGAGCCCCGUCUGGUUGGACACCAAGCCUCUGUAAAGCUCCUUCGACGAGUCGAGUAGUUUGGGAAUGCUGCUCUAAAUGGGAGGUAUAUGUCUUCUAAAGCUAAAUAUUGGCCAGAGACCGAUAGCGCACAAGUAGAGUGAUCGAAAGAUGAAAAGCACUUUGAAAAGAGGGUUAAAUAGUACGUGAAAUUGUUGAAAGGGAAGCGUUUGUGACCAGACUUGGGCUUGGUUAAUCAUCCGGCGUUCUCGCCGGUGCACUUUGCCAGCCCAGGCCAGCAUCAGUUCGUCGCGGGGGAUAAAGGUAGCGGGAAUGUGGCUCCUCGGAGUGUUAUAGCCCGCUGCGCAAUACCCUGUGGUGGACUGAGGUUCGCGCAUCUGCAAGGAUGCUGGCGUAAUGGUCAUCAACGACCCGUCUUGAAACACGGACCAAGGAGUCGUCUUCGUAUGCGAGUGUUCGGGUGUCAAACCCCUACGCGUAAUGAAAGUGAACGCAGGUGAGAGCUUCGGCGCAUCAUCGACCGAUCCUGAUGUUCUCGGAUGGAUUUGAGUAAGAGCAUACGGGGCCGGACCCGAAAGAAGGUGAACUAUGCCUGUAUAGGGUGAAGCCAGAGGAAACUCUGGUGGAGGCUCGCAGCGGUUCUGACGUGCAAAUCGAUCGUCAAAUAUGGGCAUGGGGGCGAAAGACUA
This 808-nucleotide ribosomal RNA is filed under the name Thyronectria zanthoxyli. Its description in RNAcentral is "partial 28S ribosomal RNA". It matches the Rfam family "Eukaryotic large subunit ribosomal RNA", at positions 92 to 933 of the family's 3401-position model. Lineage: Eukaryota; Fungi; Ascomycota; Sordariomycetes; Hypocreales; Nectriaceae. The record is from RNAcentral.